CGGACUGGAGUCUGCAACCCGACUCCACGAAGUUGGAUUCGCUAGUAAUCGCGCAUCAGCCAUGGCGCGGUGAAUACGUUCCCGGGCCUUGUACACACCGCCCGUCAAGCCAUGGGAGCCGGGGGCGCCUGAAGUCCGGGACCGCGAGGACCGGCCUAGGGCGAAACUGGUAACUGGGGCUAAGUCGUAACAAGGUAUC
This 199-nucleotide ribosomal RNA is filed under the name uncultured bacterium. Its description in RNAcentral is "partial 16S ribosomal RNA". It matches the Rfam family "Bacterial small subunit ribosomal RNA", at positions 1294 to 1500 of the family's 1533-position model. The record is from RNAcentral.